Impatiens glandulifera is the source of this 350-nucleotide long non-coding RNA. RefSeq lists it as uncharacterized. NCBI's taxonomy places the organism in Eukaryota, Viridiplantae, Streptophyta, Magnoliopsida, Ericales, Balsaminaceae. The record is from RefSeq and is a predicted model, not a curated record. The transcript is spliced from 3 exons.
CAGAUUCGCUCAUUCAUCCUACAUUUGAUUGGAUUAUUAGUAGAUUCGCUCGCUUUGCUUUGCCAAUUCUCGUAAAAGUCUUUCUGUAGGGAGAGUAGUAUGCGAUGAAAAUCGACAUAACUUUCAACAUAGUGCCGAAUGACAACAAUAAUGUCAGGAUAUUUGGGAGAUUUUUUUUGGAUCAUAAUUCAGAUGAAAGAAUGCAUACCAAAACAUCUUGAGUGAUAAUGAUCCCCAUUGGUUCUUACCUCCACAGGUAGGUGUAUGUAUUUCUCAUUAACUUGUGUACUCUAUAUAUAUCAUAACUAAUACUUUAGGGAUUACUUUGCAUAAUUUGUCUUCAAGAAGUA